UUUUUGACCUUGAACAAAUACCACAUGAUUGAACAAAGUCUUUUAUAGUCUUCCAAAUUUGUAGAUACUAAAAAUCUUUAAAUAUUAGCUCCUAAGUCUUAUUGUAUCUAAAAUAUUCUAGCGUUAGAAAGUCAUAAUAUGCUUGAAGAACAAAUAAACGUGCUUCUCUUUUUUGAACAUAUUGAUGUCUUUUAAAAUAAAGUAAAGUAUUCUUGAACUUGAACUUGGAAGUACCAUAAGACUAAAAAGAAGUAUUCUUGAUAUCAUGAAUAAAAAGAUCAAAGGACAUACUUGAUUGAAUUUUUUUGAAAAAAGUUGAAUUAAUAAUCAAUGUUGAUUUUACUACUUGAAGAUGAAAUUAUUUUGGCUUCAACGAAAUUAUCCUUUAUUG
RNAcentral lists this long non-coding RNA (391 nucleotides) under Physcomitrium patens. Its description in RNAcentral is "long non-coding RNA (PPAT_LNC009048)". The record is from RNAcentral. Lineage: Eukaryota; Viridiplantae; Streptophyta; Bryopsida; Funariales; Funariaceae.